RNAcentral lists this long non-coding RNA (302 nucleotides) under Chinchilla lanigera (long-tailed chinchilla). RNAcentral's name for it is "lncRNA (ENSCLAG00000023166.1)". The record is from RNAcentral. Lineage: Eukaryota; Metazoa; Chordata; Mammalia; Rodentia; Chinchillidae.
AGUUAAAUGGUGGGUGUUGAACUUGAACCCAGGUUGUUUGACCCCUGUGUUCACCACACCAUCACACCCACACUGAAUUGAAAGAAGAGCCUCUUUGGACUGUGGUACACCCACAUUCCUAUCCCGCGCUGCCUCACAGUUGGGCAGACACAAAGUAGAUGACUACUUGCUUCAAGGGUCCUUCAGAGAAGAAACAACAGCGGCAUCCACCAAUUAUUCUCCUUCCCUGGAAGCGUGGAACACUGGGACACGAUACCCCCUUUUUCAAGGCUAAAGAAUAUGGAAAACAUUGGAAUAUGUAA